UCUCACAGACCAAGAUGCUUUUACUCACACAGCAGAGGCAGAUCUCCCAGAAACCUCAUCUACCCUCCAGUACUGUCUCAUUGUCCUGCACUGGUGAACUCAGCUACACCGGCUGCCCUAUCCUCUGCCUAUGUAUUCUCUCACACUCCACGAGAAACUGGCAGAGGUGGUGGUACGGGUCUCCUGUUGUCCAAGAGGUGGUCCUUCUCGCCCAUCACCCUGUCUCAUCUCAGUUUUUCAUCAUUUGAAUUUCAUGCAGUUAAGAUCUCCUUUGCCCGCUGUCAUCUAAACCAAGGAAGAAAUCUUGUCCUGCUCCUUGGCUAUC
Clarias gariepinus (North African catfish) is the source of this 325-nucleotide long non-coding RNA. RefSeq lists it as uncharacterized. The transcript has 3 exons. The record is from RefSeq and is a predicted model, not a curated record. NCBI's taxonomy places the organism in Eukaryota, Metazoa, Chordata, Actinopteri, Siluriformes, Clariidae.